AAUACAUUCAAUAAGCGGAGGAAAAGAAACUAACAAGGAUUCCCCUAGUAACUGCGAGUGAAGCGGGAAAAGCUCAAAUUUUGAAUCUGGCAGUCUUUGCAGGCCGUCCGAGUUGUAAUCUAGAGAAGCGUCUUCCGCGCCGGCCUGUGUACAAGUCUCCUGGAAGGGAGCGUCAUAGAGGGUGAGAAUCCCGUCUCUGACACGGACCACCGGUGCUAUGUGAUGCGCUCUCGACGAGUCGAGUUGUUUGGGAAUGCAGCUCAAAAAGGGUGGUAAACUCCAUCUAAAGCUAAAUAUUGGCGAGAGACCGAUAGCGAACAAGUACCGUGAGGGAAAGAUGAAAAGGACUCUGGAAAGAGAGUUAAACAGUACGUGAAAUUGCUGAAAGGGAAACGCUCGAUGUCAGUCGCGUCGGCUGGGGGUCAACCUUGCGGUUUCGCUGGGUGUAUUUCCUGGUCGACGGGUCAGCAUCAGUUUCGGUCGUCGUACAAGGGCCAAGGGAAAGUGGCACCCUUCCGGGGGUGUGUUAUAGCCUUUCGGUCGUAUGUGGCGGCUCGGGACUGAGGAGACUCGGUGUGGGCUUCGGCUUACACUAGAGAUGCUGGCAUAAUGGCCUUGAGCGACCCGUCUUGAAACACGGACCAAGGAGUCUAACAUGUCUGCGAGUGUUUGGGUGGCAAACCCGAUCGCGAAAUGAAAGUGAAAGUCGAGAUCUCCAUCCACGGAGUGCACCGACGCCCGGAUCCAUCGUCUUUGACAAUGGAUCUGCGGUAGAGCAUGCAUGUUGGGACCCGAAAGAUGGUGAACUAUGCCUGAAUAGGGUGAAGCCAGAGGAAACUCUGGUGGAGGCUCGUAGCGAUUCUGACGUGCAAAUCGAUCGUCGAAUUGGGUAUAGGGGGCGAAAGACUAAUCGAACCACUAGUA
This 924-nucleotide ribosomal RNA is filed under the name Boletus edulis. Its description in RNAcentral is "partial large subunit ribosomal RNA". It matches the Rfam family "Eukaryotic large subunit ribosomal RNA", at positions 35 to 949 of the family's 3401-position model. The record is from RNAcentral. Lineage: Eukaryota; Fungi; Basidiomycota; Agaricomycetes; Boletales; Boletaceae.